RNAcentral lists this non-coding RNA (519 nucleotides) under Onchocerca volvulus. Lineage: Eukaryota; Metazoa; Nematoda; Chromadorea; Rhabditida; Onchocercidae. The record is from RNAcentral.
UCGGCUAUGCGUUUUAAUUUUUGACUCUAUUUGUUGUGGUGCUAUGAGUUUUUAGUUUGUUUUUAUAUUGUUUUUUGUAAAAUAUUUUAAUUUUUUUUUAGUUUCUUAUGGUAUCAAAAAUUUGUUUUUUGAACUGGAUUAGUACCCAGGUAAUCAAAAUUUAAUAAUUCGGGAGUAAAGUUUUAUUUAAACCGAAAAAAUAUUGACUGACUUUAGAUUUUUCUUUGGAAUAUGUGAUUUGCUGGAGAGCCCUCUUUUUUGGUGAAUUUUGUUGGCACAUGUAUGAUUGUUUAGUUUUUAUUUUAUUUUGUAAUGCUUUAUUGUUUUGGCAUCAAAAACAGAUAUAUAUUUGGCUUAUGAAUUUAUGUUUCAUGUGUUACUAUUAUGAAUUUUUUUUGGAUUAGUUUUUUAUUUUUUUUUGAAAUUGGAAAAGAAAGUAAUUUUUUCUUAAUGUUUUAAUGAAUUUAAUAAAUAAGGUGGUACAAACCAUCCGUCAAUGGCCUAAAGGGGCGUAAGUUG